UACGUAGGGGGCAAGCGUUGUCCGGAAUCAUUGGGCGUAAAGCGCGUGUAGGCGGCCCGAUAAGUCCGCUGUGAAAGUCGGGGGCUCAACCCUCGAAAGCCGGUGGAUACUGUCGGGCUAGAGUGCGGAAGAGGCGAGUGGAACUCCUGGUGUAGCGGUGAAAUGCGCAGAUAUCAGGAGGAACACCAAUUGCGAAGGCAGCUCGCUGGGACGUUACUGACGCUGAGACGCGAAAGCGUGGGGAGCGAACAGG
This 253-nucleotide ribosomal RNA is filed under the name uncultured bacterium. RNAcentral's name for it is "partial 16S ribosomal RNA". It matches the Rfam family "Bacterial small subunit ribosomal RNA", at positions 524 to 776 of the family's 1533-position model. The record is from RNAcentral.